RNAcentral lists this long non-coding RNA (1997 nucleotides) under Salmo salar (Atlantic salmon). RNAcentral describes it as "lncRNA (ENSSSAG00000092443.1)". The record is from RNAcentral. Lineage: Eukaryota; Metazoa; Chordata; Actinopteri; Salmoniformes; Salmonidae.
AAAGAUCAACUGUACCUAGAACAUAGAUACAGAGCCACUUGUCAUCAGGAAGCUGCUCUCUCAGCACAACGGAAAAUAUCUCAAUGACUUGACAUGUUCUGGUUGUGAAUUCAGGCUACAAGUUGAAAAUCGUCUUUCAGAAUAUCGGAAAAUGUGUUGUUUUCUAAACUACAAUGAGCUCCUGCUUCCUGUGUAAUUUGGGGACAGUGCUCUAAAAUGAGCAUCUCGGGAGAGAGAAAGGAGGCGGUCCCUGCCUCUAAAAUGAGUCUCUCUGGGGAACAUGACACCAAAGCUAAGAGUCCAAUCAAGCAGGAGAGAUCAGCCUCCCCUGUUCCCAGCUGUGUGUCCAUGAAGAGUGACCAGUCCAUGGGUCAACCUAUAAAGUUUAGAGAGGGAGACUUUUCUACUGAACAAAGGUAAGAAGAACUCAUGGGUCAUGGUCACUGAGUUAAACAACACUGUUUCUAGUAAUUUCUCCUCUCCCAUUUUCACAUUUAUUUUUGUUGAUUUCAUAAUCCAUAGGCUUUUCCUUUUAUCCAUUUCAUAGUCCUAAAACAAUAUUAAACAAUCACAAGACUCCCUCCCUGUGUGUGUGUGUGUGUGUGUGUGCUAUUACCUCAACUACCUGGUACCCCUGCACAUUGACUCAGUACUGGUACUCCUUAUAGUCUCAUUAUUAUCUCAACUACCUGGUACCCCUGCACAUUGACUCAGUACUGGUACUCCUUAUAGUCUCAUUAUUACCUGAACUACCUGGUACCCCUGCACAUUGACUCAGUACUGGUACUCCUUAUAGUCUCAUUAUUACCUCAACUACCUGGUACCCCUGCACAUUGACUCAGUACUGGUACUCCUUAUAGUCUCAUUAUUGUUAUUUUAUUGUGUUACUAUUUCCUUUUUUUAGAUUUUUUUUCUUACUUUUAAACUGCAUUGUUGGGAAAGGGCUCGUUAGCAUUUCAAGGUAAAGUGUACACCUGUUGUAUUCAGCGCAUGUGAAAAAUACAUUUUUAUUUUAUUUGAUUCUCAUUGGCAGAAACGCGUCAUUGGGUCUAACGAUCGUAUCAUGCCAAACAGCACAUGUUCGGAUGUACAAGCACGGUGGCUAGUUAAAACUCCUCAGAAAGGAAGGAACCUAGGAAGAAACCUAGAAAGGAACCAGGCUCUGAGUGGUGGCCAGUCCUCUUCUGGCUGCGCUGGGGGGAGAUUAUAAGAGUACAUGGCCAUGAAGUUCAGAUCAUUCUUCAAGAUGUUAAAAUGUUCAUACAUGACUAGCAGGGUAAAACAAUAAUCACAGUGGUUGUAGAGGGUUCAACAGGUCAGCACCUCAGGAGAAAAUGUCAGUUGGCUUUUCAUAGCCGAGACAGCCGGUGUGGUAGGUACAGACAGACAGACAGACAGACAGACAGACAGACAGACAGACAGACAGACAGACAGACAGACAGACAGACAGACAGACAGACAGACAGACAGACAGACAGACAGACAGACAGACAGACAGACAGACAGACAGACAGACAGACAGACAGACAGACAGACAGACAGACAGACAGACAGACAGACAGACAGACAGACAGACAGACAGACAGACAGACAGACAGACAGAGCGAAACAGCAGGUUCGGGACAAGGUAACACGUCCGGUGAGCAGUUCAGGGUUCCAUAUCCUCAGUCAGACCAGUAGAAAGUGGAUCAGCAGCACAAAAGGUAUCACGUCUGGUGAACAGGGCAGAGUUCCAUAUCCUCAGUCAGACCAGUAGAAAGUGGAUCAGCAGCACUACAAGGUAUCACGUCUGGUGAACAGGGCAGAGUUCCAUAUCCUCAGUCAGACCAGUAGAAACUGGAUCAGCAGCACUACAAGGUAUCACAUCUGGUGGAGCAUGUAUCAAUACUGAUAGGAUGGAAAGAAAGGGAGCGCUGCUCUCAGAUCAGUUUUCUACAUUAAAAUCUUUCCUUAAUGUAAGAAUAUUUUAAAGAUAAAUACACAAUGCAGAGUUUGAG